RNAcentral lists this ribosomal RNA (612 nucleotides) under uncultured bacterium. Its description in RNAcentral is "bacterial SSU rRNA". It matches the Rfam family "Bacterial small subunit ribosomal RNA", at positions 338 to 951 of the family's 1533-position model. The record is from RNAcentral.
CCUACGGGAGGCAGCAGUAAGGAAUAUUGGUCAAUGGAGGCAACUCUGAACCAGCCAUGCCGCGUGCAGGAUGAAGGCCCUAUGGGUCGUAAACUGCUUUUACACAAGAGAAAACCCCGGUACGUGUACCGGAUUGAUAGUAUUGUGAGAAUAAGCAUCGGCUAACUUCGUGCCAGCAGCCGCGGUAAUACGAAGGAUGCAAGCGUUAUCCGGAUUCAUUGGGUUUAAAGGGUGCGUAGGCGGACCUGUAAGUCAGUGGUGAAAUCUCUUUGCUUAACAAAGAAACUGCCAUUGAUACUGCAAGUCUAGAGUAUAGAUGACGUUGGCGGAAUAUGACAUGUAGUGGUGAAAUACUUAGAUAUGUCAUAGAACACCGAUUGCGAAGGCAGCUAACGAAACUAUAACUGACGCUGAGGCACGAAAGUGCGGGGAUCAAACAGGAUUAGAUACCCUGGUAGUCCGCACCGUAAACGAUGAUUACUCGUUGUUGGCAAUAUGACCGUCAGCGACCAAGCGAAAGCGAUAAGAAUCCACCUGGGGAGUACGCCGGCAACGGUGAAACUCAAANAGAGUAGAGACGNGAGAGNGCGAGGACGACGACGAGGGAGGAGG